AGAGUUUGAUCCUGGCUCAGGACGAACGCUGGCGGCGCGCCUAACACAUGCAAGUCGAACGAGAGAUGAGGAGCUUGCUCUUCAAAUCGAGUGGCGAACGGGUGAGUAACGCGUGAGGAACCUGCCUCAAAGAGGGGGACAACAGUUGGAAACGACUGCUAAUACCGCAUAAGCCCACGGCUCGGCAUCGAGCAGAGGGAAAAGGAGCAAUCCGCUUUGAGAUGGCCUCGCGUCCGAUUAGCUAGUUGGUGAGGUAACGGCCCACCAAGGCGACGAUCGGUAGCCGGACUGAGAGGUUGAACGGCCACAUUGGGACUGAGACACGGCCCAGACUCCUACGGGAGGCAGCAGUGGGGAAUAUUGCACAAUGGGGGAAACCCUGAUGCAGCGACGCCGCGUGGAGGAAGAAGGUCUUCGGAUUGUAAACUCCUGUUGUUGAGGAAGAUAAUGACGGUACUCAACAAGGAAGUGACGGCUAACUACGUGCCAGCAGCCGCGGUAAAACGUAGGUCACAAGCGUUGUCCGGAAUUACUGGGUGUAAAGGGAGCGCAGGCGGGAGAACAAGUUGGAAGUGAAAUCCAUGGGCUCAACCCAUGAACUGCUUUCAAAACUGUUUUUCUUGAGUAGUGCAGAGGUAGGCGGAAUUCCCGGUGUAGCGGUGGAAUGCGUAGAUAUCGGGAGGAACACCAGUGGCGAAGGCGGCCUACUGGGCACCAACUGACGCUGAGGCUCGAAAGUGUGGGUAGCAAACAGGAUUAGAUACCCUGGUAGUCCACACCGUAAACGAUGAUUACUAGGUGUUGGAGGAUUGACCCCUUCAGUGCCGCAGUUAACACAAUAAGUAAUCCACCUGGGGAGUACGACCGCAAGGUUGAAACUCAAAGGAAUUGACGGGGGCCCGCACAAGCAGUGGAGUAUGUGGUUUAAUUCGACGCAACGCGAAGAACCUUACCAAGUCUUGACAUCCCUUGACGAUGCUGGAAACAGUAUUUCUCUUCGGAGCAAGGAGACAGGUGGUGCAUGGUUGUCGUCAGCUCGUGUCGUGAGAUGUUGGGUUAAGUCCCGCAACGAGCGCAACCCUUAUGGUCAGUUACUACGCAAGAGGACUCUGGCCAGACUGCCGUUGACAAAACGGAGGAAGGUGGGGAUGACGUCAAAUCAUCAUGCCCUUUAUGACUUGGGCUACACACGUACUACAAUGGCGUUAAACAAAGAGAAGCAAGACCGCGAGGUGGAGCAAAACUCAGAAACAACGUCCCAGUUCGGACUGCAGGCUGCAACUCGCCUGCACGAAGUCGGAAUUGCUAGUAAUCGUGGAUCAGCAUGCCACGGUGAAUACGUUCCC
RNAcentral lists this ribosomal RNA (1346 nucleotides) under metagenome. RNAcentral's name for it is "bacterial SSU rRNA". It matches the Rfam family "Bacterial small subunit ribosomal RNA", at positions 8 to 1375 of the family's 1533-position model. The record is from RNAcentral.